UCUGGCGACCGGCGCACGGGUGAGUAACACGUAUCCAACCUGCCCUUUACUCGGGGAUAGCCUUUCGAAAGAAAGAUUAAUACCCGAUAGCAUAAUGAUUCCGCAUGGUUUCAUUAUUAAAGGAUUCCGGUAAAGGAUGGGGAUGCGUUCCAUUAGGUUGUUGGUGAGGUAACGGCUCACCAAGCCUUCGAUGGAUAGGGGUUCUGAGAGGAAGGUCUCCCACAUUGGAACUGAGACACGGUCCAA
Molecule: ribosomal RNA, 246 nt
Filed under: uncultured bacterium
Lineage: Bacteria
Description: partial 16S ribosomal RNA
Rfam family: Bacterial small subunit ribosomal RNA
Source: RNAcentral